Molecule: ribosomal RNA, 402 nt
Filed under: bacterium
Lineage: Bacteria
Description: partial 16S ribosomal RNA
Rfam family: Bacterial small subunit ribosomal RNA
Source: RNAcentral
UGGGGAAUUUUGCACAAUGGGGGAAACCCUGAUGCAGCGACGCCGCGUGUUUUAGAAUGCCUUCGGGUUGUAAAAAUCUUUUCUAUGGGAAGAAAAUGACAGUACCAUAGGAAUAAGGACCGGCUAAUUACGUGCCAGCAGCCGCGGUAAUACGUAAGGUCCGUGCGUUGUCCGGAAUCAUUGGGCGUAAAGGGUACGUAGGCGGGUAAGCAAGUUAGAAGUGAAAUCCUAUAGCUCAACUAUAGUAAGCUUUUAAAACUGCUCAUCUUGGGGGAUGGAAGGGAAAGUGGAAUUCCUGGUGUAGCGGUGAAAUGCGCGGAUGUUAGGAGGAAUUCCGGUGGCGAAGGCGACUUUCUGGCCAUGACCUGACGCUGAGGUACGAAAGCGUGGGUAGCAAACAGG